AAUUAUGUAACCACUUAAUACUAAAAUAAAAAAGUGUCCAUCUAUACUAUCCCAACACAUUUUCACCUUUGAAAUCGUAAAUUUCCAUUCCCAUUAAAAAAUAAUUUGUACUGUAUAAGUAUAUUUCUUUUGAGCUUCAUUUUUUUUUAAAUACUGCAACAUGAGUUUUAAAUUAUGACACAGUACAAUACUUGUUUCAAUAUUUACAUGUAAAUAAAAUAAUCCUAAUUACUUGUAAAAGUAAGGUUAUAAAUUUAAGAAUACAGAACUCUCUUUUAAAACCAAAGUGGCAUUAGACUAAUUUUAAAAUUCCCGCUAAAAGGAAAAAGGUAAAUCUGGCAACAGUGCCGUCGUUUGCCGGACAUUUAAUCUCUCCCGGCAUGAUUUGAGUAUUCUGCUAUAAAUGCAUUGUUACCAACUUUCGCUUGCAUGUGUUUCCCCCCUUUCCUCUGAGAGGCAUACCACGCAACGAAGGUGUAGAACGUCGUUAACGACACGUAACAAUUUAUGUAUUUGUGUUUAAGUGCAAAUCCACAUUGAAUUUAAUUUUAGUUCCUUUAAGUUAUUUUAACCGUUUUUUAACUAACGUUUUCAACGAAUGUUCGGAGGUACUAUAGUAUGCGGUCUACCUCGAGAGUGCGAUCUACCUGAAGGAUUUGCACAAAAUAAUGAAAUGCGAGGAAACUCCUGUAGAAAAAAUAUUUAUUCACAAGUAAUAACCAUUUGGAGCAACAUAAUUUAUUUGAAAAGAUAAUGCGCAUACUCUGAGAAAAGAUUAUGAUGAUAUUUGCAUAAAAGUUAUGCCAAUAUUAAUUCUUAUGAUUUAUGCGUUUUAUUUACUUUGUAAUAGUUAUUCCCUAACAACACACAACAUUCCAGGAAUGUACUACCAAAGUUCUGUCAAUAUUUGAAUGUCCUGGACAUUUAGGGAACAUUCGGUGAACAUCUGAUUAAAUUAUUCCUGGAAUGUUACCAUAAGACAUUCUGUGAACAUACUACCAAUGUUCCUAUAUUUUAAGUUGCCAAAUAAUAAAUACGUGUAACAGAUAUAACAUUACUUAUAACAGAAACGUGCAAAAACGAAGAGAGGCAUUUAUAAUUAUUAUUCUUUUGCGUUCAUUUUCAAAUUCACGGCGCAUGUAUUUGUGCAUGGUGCUUAGAGAGGGCAUCACGUGACUAAAAACAACCAACGACCUCACUUCGGACUUCGGCCAUCUUGACAUGCAUCUUGGCCUUGGCCACCUUGCCGUGCGUGAUCGUUGUUUGUUUUAUUUGUGCUUUUUAAGAAUAUUUUUUUAAUUCGGAUACUUUUAUAAUAACUUUAAUAGCAUUAUUAACAUAGUGCAUAAAAUCAGUUGGAGUAGCAGAAGCAAUGUAGAUAAAAAAUCUGCAGGAAUAACGUUUCAAAGGUUAGUAUGCAAAUAUGUAAACAAAGGCAUGCCCCUAUUUCAGAAAAUAUCCAUUUAUUAUUUUAAUAAUUGCGAAUAAGCCACAAACUUGCUUAUUCCUAACUAAAAUAGUAAAUAGAGAUAAUAACAAAAAGAUUAUUUGUAAAAUUAAAAUAAUUCUUUUUGCGUUUUUGCUAAUGUAUGCGUUUACAAACAGGAUGGUAGACCACACACACACACACACACUAUAAUAGUACCAACUAAUGAAUACACAGUAUGAAUAGUAUAGUCGGUUCGCUAAACUUAGUCUCAGACACAACUAGUUAGUGAUUUUAGCAGUGGUGUCAUGGCAAAAUUAGCAGUGCGGGAACGCACUGCUAAUUUUUGUUUACAAAACCUAAAUUCUCUAUUAUUUUUUUUCUUUUCUUAACCAGUGCGGGAACGGCGUUCCCACACGAUGACACCACUGGAUUUUAGUAAAUAAUUUUGCCAAUUUGGUAAAAUUGGCAAAAAAAUAAUAACUAAAUAGUUAGUAAUUUUGGCAAAAUUGGCCAAAAACAAAAAAUUACCUACUAAAAUCACUAGCCAGUUGUGUCUAGGGAAACGACUAUACUAAUAAACAAUUUCUAAGCUGUUUUAUAAUAUUUUGUGAGUUCAUUAAUCAUAUUUUUUAUUUAAAACUAAAAUUUGUUAAUAAUGCUUAGUAAUGCAUAUAUUUUGUAUUUUUAGCUUUCCAGAAGAUCCUGCUAAGAAGGCAUGAAGUAUAGAUCAGAUUUGUUAAUAGAGCAGUAUGCUCAAAACAUUUUUUAGAAAAAGAUAUUGACAGAACUUCACUUUCAACUGUUCGUUUGAGAGACUGUGCUGUUCCAAUAGCUUAUAUCACACAGAAUCAGCUGAGAGAAGUGGUCUACAAAAAACCAGGAAGGAAAUGGAAUAUGUGGCUACGAAAGGCAAAAGAAAGGUUUACAAAGCAAAUGUGACACAUUUUUUUAUAGGAAUAUCAGUAAAUUACAUUAAAAAAAUGUAUGAAAAGAUUGCAAUAAAAAUGUUUAUAUUUA
Molecule: long non-coding RNA, 2446 nt
Filed under: Diabrotica virgifera virgifera (western corn rootworm)
Lineage: Eukaryota; Metazoa; Arthropoda; Insecta; Coleoptera; Chrysomelidae
Description: uncharacterized LOC126882245
Source: RNAcentral